This 522-nucleotide ribosomal RNA is filed under the name uncultured bacterium. RNAcentral's name for it is "bacterial SSU rRNA". It matches the Rfam family "Bacterial small subunit ribosomal RNA", at positions 988 to 1509 of the family's 1533-position model. The record is from RNAcentral.
CCAGAGAACUUUCCAGAGAUGGAUUGGUGCCUUCGGGAACUCUGAGACAGGUGCUGCAUGGCUGUCGUCAGCUCGUGUUGUGAAAUGUUGGGUUAAGUCCCGCAACGAGCGCAACCCUUUAUCCUUUGUUGCCAGCGGUUAGGCCGGGAACUCAAAGGAGACUGCCAGUGAUAAACUGGAGGAAGGUGGGGAUGACGUCAAGUCAUCAUGGCCCUUACGAGUAGGGCUACACACGUGCUACAAUGGCGCAUACAAAGAGAAGCGACCUCGCGAGAGCAAGCGGACCUCAUAAAGUGCGUCGUAGUCCGGAUUGGAGUCUGCAACUCGACUCCAUGAAGUCGGAAUCGCUAGUAAUCGUAGAUCAGAAUGCUACGGUGAAUACGUUCCCGGGCCUUGUACACACCGCCCGUCACACCAUGGGAGUGGGUUGCAAAAGAAGUAGGUAGCUUAACCUUCGGGAGGGCGCUUACCACUUUGUGAUUCAUGACUGGGGUGAAGUCGUAACAAGGUAGGCGUAGUGCU